This 435-nucleotide ribosomal RNA is filed under the name uncultured bacterium. RNAcentral describes it as "partial 16S ribosomal RNA". It matches the Rfam family "Bacterial small subunit ribosomal RNA", at positions 29 to 507 of the family's 1533-position model. The record is from RNAcentral.
AGCGAACGCUGGCGGCAGGCUUAACACAUGCAAGUCGAGCGGGCACUUUCGGGUGUCAGCGGCGGACGGGUGAGUAACGCGUGGGAACGCGCCCUCUGGUUCGGAAUAACUCAGGGAAACUUGAGCUAAUACCGGAUACGCCCUUUUGGGGAAAGGCUUGCUGCCGGAGGAUCGGCCCGCGUCUGAUUAGCUAGUUGGUGAGGUAACGGCUCACCAAGGCGACGAUCAGUAGCUGGUCUGAGAGGAUGAUCAGCCACACUGGGACUGAGACACGGCCCAGACUCCUACGGGAGGCAGCAGUGGGGAAUAUUGGACAAUGGGCGCAAGCCUGAUCCAGCCAUGCCGCGUGAGUGAUGAAGGCCUUAGGGUUGUAAAGCUCUUUUAUCCGGGACGAUAAUGACGGUACCGGAGGAAUAAGCCCCGGCUAACUUCGUG